Molecule: ribosomal RNA, 1324 nt
Filed under: metagenome
Description: bacterial LSU rRNA
Rfam family: Bacterial large subunit ribosomal RNA
Source: RNAcentral
AGUGGAUGGGGAGCAACCUAGUUGUGCGUGUGUAAAGGUAGUGCCAAGAAAAGCGAUGAUCAUGUUGAAAAUCAAUUCCCGGUACCCGAAACCGACACAGGUGGGCAAGUAGAGAAUACUAAGGGGCGCGAGGUAACUCUCUCCAAGGAACUCGGCAAAAUGACCCCGUAACUUAGGGAGAAGGGGUGCCACCGAGAGGUGGUCGCAGUGAAGAGGCCCAGGCGACUGUUUAGCAAAAACAUAGGUCUCUGCAAACUCGAAAGAGGAGGUAUAGGGGCUGACGCCUGCCCAGUGCCGGAAGGUUAAAGAAGUUGGUCAGUUUUAGGAUGAAGCUAGCGACUGAAGCCCCGGUGAACGGCGGCCGUAACUAUAACGGUCCUAAGGUAGCGAAAUUCCUUGUCGGGUAAGUUCCGACCCGCACGAAAGGCGUAACGAUCUGGGCGCUGUCUCGGAGAGAGGCUCGGCGAAAUAGGAUUGUCUGUGAAGAUACGGACUACCUGCAUUUGGACAGAAAGACCCUAUGAAGCUUUACUAUAGCUUGGAAAUGUGUUCGGGCUUCCUGUGCGCAGGAUAGGUGGGAGGCGUAGAAGGUAUUCUUGUGGGGAUACUGGAGCCAACGGUGAGAUACCACUCUCAGGAGGCUAGAAUUCUAACUUAAUUAAGGACAGUUUCAGGUGGGUAGUUUGACUGGGGCGGUCGCCUCCAAAAAGGUAACGGAGGCGUACAAAGGUUCCCUCAGACUGGUUGGAAAUCAGUCGAAGAGUGCAAAGGCAGAAGGGAGCUUGACUGCGAGAAGUACAGUUCGAGCAGGGUGGAAACACGGUCUUAGUGAUCCGACGGUGCUGUGUGGAAGGGCCGUCGCUCAACGGAUAAAAGUACUCUAGGGAUAACAGGCUGAUCUCCCCCAAGAGUUCACAUCGACGGGGAGGUUUGGCACCUCGAUGUCGGCUCAUCGCAACCUGGGGCGGAAGUACGUCCCAAGGGUUGGGCUGUUCGCCCAUUAAAGCGGUACGUGAGCUGGGUUCAGAACGUCGUGAGACAGUUCGGUCCAUAUCCGAUGUAGGCGUGAGAAUAUUGAGAGGAGCCUUCCUUAGUACGAGAGGACCGGGAAGGACGCACCGCUGGUGUACCUGUUAUGAUGCCAAUUGUAAACGCAGGGUAGCCAAGUGCGGAGAGGAUAACCGCUGAAAGCAUCUAAGUGGGAAGCCCACCUCAAGAUGAGUAUUCUGGUGUAAGGUCACGGGAAGACGACCCGUAAAUAGGCACGAGGUGGAAGUGCAGAGAUGUAUGAAGCCGAAGUGUACUAAUAGACCGUCGGCUUGAU